Podarcis lilfordi (Lilford's wall lizard) is the source of this 487-nucleotide non-coding RNA. NCBI's taxonomy places the organism in Eukaryota, Metazoa, Chordata, Lepidosauria, Squamata, Lacertidae. The record is from the annotation of a GenBank genome assembly.
GUUAGAAACAGCUCCACUGUAUAUUUGCUUGCAGCAGAAGCAUCUUUAGGAAUGAAGUCAAACAGGCUUUGUUUUGUAAUGUACAGGGAAAUUAAGUUCUUAAAAUGUCCUAUUUUCCCUGCCCACGCAACAAAACAGAGCACAAAGCCAGUUGACCUGAAGAUUAGAGAUGGGUGAAUCUGUCAAUUUCAGUUUCUCUGUUUUUAAUUUUUCCAGUCUGAAGUUCUCCACAUUUCCACACCAGCCCCUGUAGUAUUUCCUCACUUCCCUUUAUCAGCACUUUGUCCUCUUAUCUUCAGAGAGAUCAUUGACUUUCUGCACCUUGUGACAACUUCGUUAGAGCUAUUUCCUCAACUUUGCUGGAAGACGAGCUCCAUCAGGAGCCUCCUUCACCUGAACUGUCUCUAUGCCAGCUAGAAAGCUAUAAGAGAACAGGUGCCUGAGUUUGCUUCCACCCCCCAUUUCCUUCCCUGUCCCCUUGCGUGUC